ACGAAGGGGGCUAGCGUUGUUCGGAAUUACUGGGCGUUAAGCGCACGUAGGCGGACAUUUAAGUCAGGGGUGAAAUCCCGGGGCUCAACCCCGGAACUGCCUUUGAUACUGGGUGUCUGGAGUAUGGAAGAGGUGAGUGGAAUUCCGAGUGUAGAGGUGAAAUUCGUAGAUAUUCGGAGGAACACCUGUGGCGAAAGCGGCGCACUGGACCACAACUGACGCUGAGGCGCGAAAGCUAGGGGAGCAAACAGGA
RNAcentral lists this ribosomal RNA (253 nucleotides) under uncultured prokaryote. RNAcentral's name for it is "partial 16S ribosomal RNA". It matches the Rfam family "Bacterial small subunit ribosomal RNA", at positions 525 to 777 of the family's 1533-position model. The record is from RNAcentral.